GAAGGGGCGGCUGGGGAGGCAGGUAGAAGCUGCGGUGGCAGGUCUCGGGGAAGGGGCCCCAGCUGGGCUCAGCCGGCCCGGGGCCUCACCUCUUCCAGUUCCCCCCCACCCCACCCAACCCGUGGAGGGAGUGGGCGCCGCACUAGGAGACCUGGCCCCUCGGGGCUCCGCAGCCCCUCCCUGUCUGCAUAGCCCCUCCCUCCAGUCUGGUUUGUAAGACGUGGAGGCCCGGGGGAGGAGGAAAGACAUGGCCCAUACAGAGGCCCCAACGCGGCACCCUAUUAAACCCUGGGAAGUCUUCAGAGCCCGCCGUGGCCUCCCAUCAACAGCCGCCCCCCACCCCGUACUCCAUUCAUUCACUCACCCAGUACUCAAAACAUUUUCCAAAGCCUACUCAACUACACAGUGUCCCUAGACAGGCACAACCGAGACCCUGCCCACGAAGGGCUUUGAAUCCAAGAGGAGAGACUAGCCACAGGCAUGUGAACAGGCUUCAGUCAUUCAACAUACAGGAGUACCUACUCUGCACCAAGCUCCAGAGCUCACAGAACUGGAGAAGCAUUCUCAAGUACAAACUCCUCAAAAUCUCGUCCUACCAACACCCUGGAUAAAUGGACACAUGAGUUUGCAUAUGCUGUUCCCUCUGCCUAGAAUGUCCUUCCACAUGGACUCCAUCUGGAAAACUCUUCUGCUUCCUGCAGGGGCUUGUUUAUCUUUGUAUCGCAAGCAUCUAUCACUAUUCCUGGCAGAGACCACCAGGUUUAUAAUAAGUUAUUAUGGAAGCCACAGGAAACUACUACACCGUCCCCUGGAAGAACAAGGGAGGCCAAGCACACAGCGGCAGAUGAAGUUGUUGGCAGGUCUUUAUCCAGGCUUUGUGAAAUGUUAUAGCAAUAUAGUUGUGCUAUGGAAAAUUCAGAGACAAACCUGUAAUACAUGAUUGGAAUGCAGAGAUAAAGCAGAAGGUAGCCAUACUUCCUAUUCUUUGCCCCAAGGCUAAAAGAGAGGCGGCAGCGGCAGAGGCAUUGCAAGGGAACACAGUGACUCACAAUUCCAGGAAGUAAGGUACUAAGGAUACGCCAGUGUGCAGAACCAGAACACUCAGAGAUGACAGAAAUGCUCUAUGCCUUUCCAGAGCAGUCAUCACUAGCCACCGGUGGCUCCAGCUACAGAUGUGGCGAUGCUUGACAGCCCAGGCGCUAUCAUUGAACAACUCAGUGGCUGAAUUGAAGAGAGGUUAGUCAUUGAAGUGACAUGAACUGGUGACUAGAAAACACAUGGAAAAAACUCACACUGCACAGAGCAAGCAAAGAGGAACAGACAGAAAAUAGAAAUCAAUGUAGAGUCUGAUGGGUCAUAAGGAUCAAGACGGAAGAAGCAGUACAUUAAAUAUGAAGACAUUUGCAUCUGGUUAAACAUCACAUCUAGAGUGUGG
Mustela erminea (ermine) is the source of this 1435-nucleotide long non-coding RNA. RefSeq lists it as uncharacterized. The transcript has 7 exons. The record is from RefSeq and is a predicted model, not a curated record. NCBI's taxonomy places the organism in Eukaryota, Metazoa, Chordata, Mammalia, Carnivora, Mustelidae.